CUCCGGGAACAAUAUCCGGCUCUAUACAACAUUGUGCGCCACAAGGGUGAUACUAUUGCCACGGUAAAGGAAUCAUUUCCACCAAAUGUCACGUUCAUAAGAGAUUUAAUUGGACCCAGACUCCAACCGUGGAACAUCCUGCUCGAGCGGUUGUCCACGGUGCAAUUGUCACAUGGGUCUGAUAUUUUCCAAUGGAACCUCCAUGGGAAUGGACAAUUCUCAGUGGAGUCAAUGUAUAGAGCUUUAAUCCAGUCUGAUGUGUCAGUUGAUAAUAAUAAGAAAAUCUGGAAGAUGAAGAUACCUCUUAAGAAUAAAAUCUUUGCAUGGUAUCUUCGUCGCGGAGUCAUUCUUACUAAAGAUAACCUUAUUAAGAGGAAUUGGCAUGGAAGUGUGCAAUGUGUCUUUUGUCACCAUGAUGAGACGAUAAAACAUUUAUUCUUCCAAUGCAAAUUGGCUCGUUCUAUAUGGUCAGUCAUCCAAAUAGCUUCUGGCUUGUAUCCUCCUUGUAGUGUUGCUAAUGUAUUUGGCAACUAG
This 534-nucleotide ribosomal RNA is filed under the name Triticum aestivum (bread wheat). Its description in RNAcentral is "partial small subunit ribosomal RNA". The record is from RNAcentral. Lineage: Eukaryota; Viridiplantae; Streptophyta; Magnoliopsida; Poales; Poaceae.